RNAcentral lists this ribosomal RNA (253 nucleotides) under uncultured bacterium. RNAcentral describes it as "partial 16S ribosomal RNA". It matches the Rfam family "Bacterial small subunit ribosomal RNA", at positions 524 to 776 of the family's 1533-position model. The record is from RNAcentral.
UACGUAGGGGGCAAGCGUUGUCCGGAAUCAUUGGGCGUAAAGCGCGUGUAGGCGGCUCGGUAAGUCCGCUCUGAAAGUCCGGGGCUCAACCCCGGGAGGCGGGUGGAUACUGUCGAGCUCGAGUCCGGAAGAGGCGAGUGGAAUUCCUGGUGUAGCGGUGGAAUGCGCAGAUAUCAGGAGGAACACCAACGGCGAAGGCAGCUCUCUGGGACGUUACUGACGCUGAGACGCGAAAGCGUGGGGAGCAAACAGG